RNAcentral lists this unclassified non-coding RNA (333 nucleotides) under uncultured fungus. RNAcentral describes it as "sequence contains ITS1". The stretch from base 1 to 104 matches the Rfam family "5.8S ribosomal RNA", at positions 50 to 154 of the family's 154-position model. Lineage: Eukaryota; Fungi. The record is from RNAcentral.
GAAAUGCGAUAAGUAGUGUGAAUUGCAGAAUUCGCGAAUCAUCGAAUCUUUGAACGCACAUUGCGCCUCCUGGCAUUCCAGGGGGCAUGCCUGUUUGAGAGUCUGUUUUAAAGUCAGAGCCCUCGCUUGGGGGCGUCUGGUGGUGGGCCGCGAGAUGCGUCUCUGGCCUGAAAGGUAUGGGCAUAGAACGGACGCAGGGCGGCCGCGGUGUGAUAGGUGCACAGCACAGCUCGCCGCUGGAGCGCAGUCCGGGCUGCCAACAGCCGGGCAAGGCCGGCACACAGCAUCCAAGACUUGGACCUCAAAUCAGGUAGGAAGACCCGCUGAACUUAA